CGGCUACCACAUCCAAGGAAGGCA
RNAcentral lists this non-coding RNA (24 nucleotides) under Arabidopsis thaliana (thale cress). RNAcentral also lists the same sequence under 4 other names. The record is from RNAcentral. Lineage: Eukaryota; Viridiplantae; Streptophyta; Magnoliopsida; Brassicales; Brassicaceae.